AUAACCGUCGUCCACGAGCUCGCAGAUCUCCGCCACUGCUGCCCGGGUUAACGUUUCCAUGAUGGUCGCGAGCUGGGAAUGAAAGGGCUGCAGAGGGUACAGUUCACUAGGCGAAAGGUAGGAAACACACUGUACAGGUCGCCAGUCCAUCACAGGGAAAUGUUGGUCUGCGUUGGAGUGAGGGUGAGGUUGCCCUCAUCAUCGGUGGCAACACUGUCUUCUGUCAGAACAUAGUAACCAUUGGCGAGAAGCCGCGGACUCCGACGGCACACACACAGUGAGCCUGUGGCUGGGUUGACUGAUAAACACUCGUACGAGGUAUCGGAA
Molecule: long non-coding RNA, 327 nt
Organism: Trichomycterus rosablanca
Lineage: Eukaryota; Metazoa; Chordata; Actinopteri; Siluriformes; Trichomycteridae
Exons: 3
Source: RefSeq, a predicted model, not a curated record